Vespula pensylvanica (western yellowjacket) is the source of this 1560-nucleotide RNA transcript. RefSeq lists it as uncharacterized. NCBI's taxonomy places the organism in Eukaryota, Metazoa, Arthropoda, Insecta, Hymenoptera, Vespidae. The transcript is spliced from 5 exons. The record is from RefSeq and is a predicted model, not a curated record.
UUCGUCGUCAGCGCGUUUAUUCAUUACUAUAUCUAUCAAUAACUUGGAUUAGUUUUAUGUCAUUGCAGUUGCCCUCCUCUUCCAAAGAAUAACACAAUAGACACGAGUUCGAUGACAAAAGUCGGAUAAUCCGUAAAAGUAUGCGAACACUUCAUUUUUCUUUCAUCGGACUCUUUCCUUUUUCAAUUGUCUUUGAGUAACUUUUAGGUGAAUUUGAUCGUAACGCUUAUUGGGAUAAUAAUGAAAUAAAAACGUAUAGAAAAUGACAAAAAAUGACGUUGAAAUGUCAAAGAUAAAAUCGAUAAUAAAGUCAAGAUAAAAAAGAUCGAUAAACAUCUCGAUCACUUCCUCCAGGCAUUUGCGAGUUUCUCGUAUAAUCGAGGCCUUCUGCUACAUUCUCAAGACACGACGAUGAUAACUAAUCGAAAGACGAGCAGGUAAGUACGUGCGACAGGUAAACAAACCUUCAUCAUAUAAGAUUGUGCGAGCGUAUUUUAAACACGUACGCUCCGAUAAGGGUUGAAUUUAAAGAAAAAGGAGCGCUGGACAAACGGUCAAGUCGUAGAAGUAACAUCGUUCUUUAACAAACGCAAAAAAAAUGAGGACGAAAGGGAAGAUUGUAAAGAUCGGCUGAUGGACGUCUUCACGAAGGUCUGUGGCAACGAUCGCCUCAAAAGAGGCAUCGAAAAAUUUGAUUCAGAAAAAAUGGGCUAUAAAAAAUUCCAGCUGGCCAAAUCUAUCGAUUUUUCCCUAGAAAGGGAGAAGAAAUCUAUAUCCUUCAAUAAGCACAAAAAAAGAGAUAUCUCGGCGAAAAUAGCGAAUCCAGAGGGAGAACAUGUCGCGGAUGUUAUUUCUGGUUCUAACCGAGAAGAUUUUUAUAACCAACAACGGUAUUAUCGACAGAAAUCUCUUCCGCCUUCUUCCGUACGGUUUCAGAAUGUUGCGAUUACAAGGUCAUCAUGAAUGAAUACGGCGACUAAACUCUUCCAUCGCAUUGCACGUUAUCGCUUGCUCACGUCCUUCGGAUAACGCUUUAUCCGGACAAUCCUUCAUCAAAGACGUAUACAACUUCCUGAAGAAAGCCAUCCUGUCAGAACUUCGAUGCUCACUCGUCGAAAUACAAAACAAGACUGAUCCAGUAACACUCAAAGUCAAAGGUUUGAAUUUGUUGACGUCACACGUAACCAAGGACCGCCUUUGUAUUCAACAUUUAAAUGUAAAAUAGAAUAAAUUGUAUAUAGUAUCAAAGAAAUGUAUUAUAUUGGAAUAUAUUUGUUUCAACUCUUCGUUAUUAUUAAUAUUAUAUUGUAGGAUCAUUAAUAUAAUUGCAGGAAAUACGUCUUCGAUAUUCACUCGUCGAAAUACAAAAGAAAACUAACUCGGUAAUUGUCAAAAUUAAUCCUAAGCGCGAAUAUGUUUAUAUUACGUCAUAUCAUACUUUGUUUAUAUUAUAUGUUUAUCUAUAUAAUAAUUCCGAGAUGAAAAUUAUUAUUUUAAGUUUCUCGCACGUUAACAUCUUUGUAAUGUUUAAGCGAAUGUACUAUUAUUUAAAUAAUUGAA